GAUCUAUCGGGCAUCAUCAUAACAUAUACAUAUCAACCUCCUUCGUCGGGCAUCAUUUCACAUUAACAUAUCCUCCAAGACAACAUUAUACACAUAAAUAUAUAGUAAAAUCAAUACGCAUAUACAACCCACUAUAAUAAAGUGUAAGUGAUAUAAGGUAACACAUACCAUCAUACCUUACGAUUAAUCAUCAAUACAUAAUGUAAGAAGAUGCAUGAGCAUGAGUAUCAAAAUGAUAUACGCAAUCACCACUUUUCCAAGGCUAUCCAUAUCAUGACAUAAUCAAUCUAGUAUAAACAGCAUCCAACCAUCAACCACAUGCAUUAACUGACAACCGAGUUUAACCAUUAUAAUCUCAACAACGUAACUUAGACAUUCAUCAAGAAUCUAGAUCACUAAGGAAUUGCAUAGUUCAAGCUUAAGGUAGGUCGAGUCCCACUCCUAAAUACCAAUAAUGCCAAAGUUCACUUCUACUAGACUAACUUCUACCCAGAAUUAGGCUAGGUUAUCUAAAUCACACCAUAAGGGCUUAUCAAUAUUUACUAAGCCAGUAUGGGAAAAUCUUCUUCAAGUAUCCUUUCUAAGUCACCCCAAACACUA
Molecule: long non-coding RNA, 600 nt
Filed under: Capsicum annuum
Lineage: Eukaryota; Viridiplantae; Streptophyta; Magnoliopsida; Solanales; Solanaceae
Description: long non-coding RNA (CANN_LNC014283)
Source: RNAcentral